CAAUAGCGUAUAUUAAAGCUGUUGCGGUUAAAAAGCUCGUAGUUGGAUUUCUGUCAAGGACAACUGGUCCGCCCUCCGGGUGAGCACAUAGUUUGGUCUUGGCAUCUUGUUCAAAACUGUUACUGCGCUUGGUUGUGUGGUGCAGUUUUGGGCACUUUCACUUUGAGGAAAUUGGAGUGUUUCAAGCAGGCACAUGCCUUUGGACACAGUAGCAUGGAAUAAUUAGAUUGGGCUUUUGCUCCAACUUGUCGGUUCCUGGAGCUGAGGUGAGAAUCAAUGGGGAUUGUUGGGGGCAUCUGAAUUUAGCCGUCAGAGGUGAAAUUCUUGGAUCUGCUAAAGACGGACAACUGCGAAAGCGUUUGCCAAGGAUGUUUUCAUUGA
RNAcentral lists this ribosomal RNA (381 nucleotides) under uncultured eukaryote. Its description in RNAcentral is "partial 18S ribosomal RNA". It matches the Rfam family "Eukaryotic small subunit ribosomal RNA", at positions 592 to 976 of the family's 1831-position model. The record is from RNAcentral.